This 1509-nucleotide ribosomal RNA is filed under the name Klebsiella pneumoniae. Its description in RNAcentral is "bacterial SSU rRNA". It matches the Rfam family "Bacterial small subunit ribosomal RNA". The record is from RNAcentral. Lineage: Bacteria; Pseudomonadati; Pseudomonadota; Gammaproteobacteria; Enterobacterales; Enterobacteriaceae.
AGAGUUUGAUCAUGGCUCAGAUUGAACGCUGGCGGCAGGCCUAACACAUGCAAGUCGAGCGGUAGCACAGAGAGCUUGCUCUCGGGUGACGAGCGGCGGACGGGUGAGUAAUGUCUGGGAAACUGCCUGAUGGAGGGGGAUAACUACUGGAAACGGUAGCUAAUACCGCAUAAUGUCGCAAGACCAAAGUGGGGGACCUUCGGGCCUCAUGCCAUCAGAUGUGCCCAGAUGGGAUUAGCUAGUAGGUGGGGUAACGGCUCACCUAGGCGACGAUCCCUAGCUGGUCUGAGAGGAUGACCAGCCACACUGGAACUGAGACACGGUCCAGACUCCUACGGGAGGCAGCAGUGGGGAAUAUUGCACAAUGGGCGCAAGCCUGAUGCAGCCAUGCCGCGUGUGUGAAGAAGGCCUUCGGGUUGUAAAGCACUUUCAGCGGGGAGGAAGGCGUUAAGGUUAAUAACCUUGGCGAUUGACGUUACCCGCAGAAGAAGCACCGGCUAACUCCGUGCCAGCAGCCGCGGUAAUACGGAGGGUGCAAGCGUUAAUCGGAAUUACUGGGCGUAAAGCGCACGCAGGCGGUCUGUCAAGUCGGAUGUGAAAUCCCCGGGCUCAACCUGGGAACUGCAUUCGAAACUGGCAGGCUAGAGUCUUGUAGAGGGGGGUAGAAUUCCAGGUGUAGCGGUGAAAUGCGUAGAGAUCUGGAGGAAUACCGGUGGCGAAGGCGGCCCCCUGGACAAAGACUGACGCUCAGGUGCGAAAGCGUGGGGAGCAAACAGGAUUAGAUACCCUGGUAGUCCACGCCGUAAACGAUGUCGAUUUGGAGGUUGUGCCCUUGAGGCGUGGCUUCCGGAGCUAACGCGUUAAAUCGACCGCCUGGGGAGUACGGCCGCAAGGUUAAAACUCAAAUGAAUUGACGGGGGCCCGCACAAGCGGUGGAGCAUGUGGUUUAAUUCGAUGCAACGCGAAGAACCUUACCUGGUCUUGACAUCCACAGAACUUNUUGGUGCCUUCGGGAACUGUGAGACAGGUGCUGCAUGGCUGUCGUCAGCUCGUGUUGUGAAAUGUUGGGUUAAGUCCCGCAACGAGCGCAACCCUUAUCCUUUGUUGCCAGCGGUUAGGCCGGGAACUCAAAGGAGACUGCCAGUGAUAAACUGGAGGAAGGUGGGGAUGACGUCAAGUCAUCAUGGCCCUUACGACCAGGGCUACACACGUGCUACAAUGGCAUAUACAAAGAGAAGCGACCUCGCGAGAGCAAGCGGACCUCAUAAAGUAUGUCGUAGUCCGGAUUGGAGUCUGCAACUCGACUCCAUGAAGUCGGAAUCGCUAGUAAUCGUAGAUCAGAAUGCUACGGUGAAUACGUUCCCGGGCCUUGUACACACCGCCCGUCACACCAUGGGAGUGGGUUGCAAAAGAAGUAGGUAGCUUAACCUUCGGGAGGGCGCUUACCACUUUGUGAUUCAUGACUGGGGUGAAGUCGUAACAAGGUAACCGUAGGGGAACCUGCGGUUG